This 961-nucleotide long non-coding RNA is filed under the name Dasypus novemcinctus (nine-banded armadillo). Its description in RNAcentral is "lncRNA (ENSDNOG00000051381.1)". Lineage: Eukaryota; Metazoa; Chordata; Mammalia; Cingulata; Dasypodidae. The record is from RNAcentral.
UGCCAAGGCGCUCCCAGAUCCUCUUGGGGCUCCAUCCCUUCUCCGCUCUUUCCCACCCGGGACUUCUGGGAAAUGCCUGUGGAAAGCAGCGAACCUGUUUCUGUCUAAUGUAGGCGAGCCUUCCAGAGAUGAGCGGGCUCUGUGCCUUCCUGGAGAAGCAUUUCCUCGGUGAGGAGGUGAAACUGAUCAGCAAGCUGGGCGACCACGUGACCCAGCUGCGCAGGCUUGCUGGCCAGCAGGCGGGGCGGGGCGGGACGGGGCGGGUCGAGUUACCUCUUUGGAAGGCUCACCCUCAAGCACCACUAGGAGUCUCUGGAGCCCAGAGGCCGUGGGGGAGGGCACUCUUCCCCCAGCCUGCGGGCGCCUGCCCGAGCCCCUCCAGCCAGGAGGCAUCUUUCUAACUGCCCGCUUGUAGCCCCCUAACAAGCCCUGAGCCAAGGGUCAACAAUAAAGCUAUUGGCAGCAGGUGCUGAUGGUGUGUGUGUGCGUGUCUGGCCCGGGACUAUGGAAGGGUGGAACCCUCCCCCGUGGGUGGUGUGCUGUAGGCACUUCAGGCCGAGCCAUUUCUGACUCCAGGGAGGGUUGAGCUAAGUGGGUAGCAGGAAGCAGGCGGAGAGUUUUCCAGUGUAACAGGAAGCAGAAAGGGGUCCUGGGCAGGUGGAAGUGACUAUGGAAAUGAGCUCUGGAAAGCAAGCACACAAGAGGAGCUCUGAGGGCCGCUUCCCCCCUGCCCGCCCGCCGGCCCGCCCGGGCUUGGAAGAGAUCAGGCCCGUCUUGAACGCUAGGGUCUUCCCCAAUGUCAAGCACAGACUCGGUAGCAACAACGACUGAGGAUCUGAGCAGCCGGGAGCUUCAGAUGGACGAGAAGUGCUGAGCUGGGGUUUUGGGUCUCAGUGGAGAGAGGAGAGGGGAAAGUAGGGUUCCUAUUCUCUACCCGAGAACGGAAGGAGCUUGCAGCAUG